CUCCUCUCAGGGCCAUACCUGGAGAGUUUACUCUACCAGGCUUGGCUAAGGGAGGGAGAGUCAAGCAGAGGUCUACCCAUUCCAUUCUUAGCUUGGCCAGUGGCUAGUGAGUGGAAGGCAAUCUGCUACAAGU
Molecule: small nucleolar RNA, 133 nt
Organism: Tachyglossus aculeatus (Australian echidna)
Lineage: Eukaryota; Metazoa; Chordata; Mammalia; Monotremata; Tachyglossidae
Source: RefSeq, a predicted model, not a curated record